UAGGGCUUGCUAUGGGGCUGCCCCAUAGAGGGUUAGGGGGCGCUGUGGGGCAGCUCCAUAGCGCUAUGGGGCACAGGAGGAGGAGCUGCCUGAGGUGACGCUGAGGGAGCUGGAGCUGCUGAGAGAGGCUGAGGCUGAACUGGGACCCCCAGAAGAGGAAGUGCCUGAGGUGCCGGAGCUGGUGGAGGUCCCACCUCCCAUCCUCCCUGCGGUGCCCCCUAUCACGGU
Molecule: long non-coding RNA, 228 nt
Organism: Neopsephotus bourkii (Bourke's parrot)
Lineage: Eukaryota; Metazoa; Chordata; Aves; Psittaciformes; Psittacidae
Exons: 3
Source: RefSeq, a predicted model, not a curated record